This 680-nucleotide ribosomal RNA is filed under the name Choanephora infundibulifera. RNAcentral's name for it is "eukaryotic LSU rRNA". It matches the Rfam family "Eukaryotic large subunit ribosomal RNA", at positions 62 to 647 of the family's 3401-position model. The record is from RNAcentral. Lineage: Eukaryota; Fungi; Mucoromycota; Mucoromycetes; Mucorales; Choanephoraceae.
AAAAUAACAAUGAUUUCCCUAGUAACGGCGAGUGAACAGGAAAGAGCUCAAAGUUGGAACCUGUUUGGUUUAGCCAAACCGGAUUGUAAACUGUAGAAGUGUUUUCCUGGCACGCCUGACGAAAAAGUCCAUUGGAACAUGGUGACAUAGAGGGUGAGAGCCCCGUAUUUUGUCAGAGCUGUUGUCUCUUGUGAUACACUUUCAAAGAGUCAGGUUGUUUGGGAAUGCAGCCUAAAUUGGGUGGUAAAUCUCACCUAAAGCUAAAUAUUGGCAAAAGACCGAUAGCGAACAAGUACCGUGAGGGAAAGAUGAAAAGAACUUUGAAAAGAGAGUUAAACAGUAUGUGAAAUUGUUAAAAGGGAACCGUUUGGAGCCAGACUGGCUUGAUUGUAAUCAAUCUAGAUUUCGAUCUGGAUGCACUUGCAGUCUAUGCCUGCCAACGACAAUUCAUUCUGGAGGAAAAAACUAAGUGGAAUGUGGCCCCUCGGGGUGUUAUAGACUCUUAGAAAAUACUCUGGUUUGGAUUGAGGAACGCAGUGAAUGCUAUUUGGCGAAGAUGCUGGGUGCUUUUAUUUUUGUUGUCUAGAAUUUCUGCUUCGGGUGGUGCUAGAUACCACGAGUAAAACUCGCCUAGUAUACUUUUUAUUCACUUAGGUUGUUGGCUUAAUGACUCUAAAUGA